Molecule: ribosomal RNA, 510 nt
Filed under: uncultured bacterium
Lineage: Bacteria
Description: bacterial SSU rRNA
Rfam family: Bacterial small subunit ribosomal RNA
Source: RNAcentral
CUGGCGGCGUGCCUAAUACAUGCAAGUCGAACGGUCUUUCUAUGGAAGCUUGCUUCCACUGAGAAGAUAGUGGCGAACGGGUGAGUAACACGUGGGUAACCUGCCCAUAAGAGGGGGAUAACAUCCGGAAACGGGUGCUAAUACCGCAUAGUUUUCUUGAUCGCAUGAUUGAGAAAGGAAAGACGGCCUUUGUGCUGUCGCUUAUGGAUGGACCCGCGGCGUAUUAGUUAGUUGGUGAGGUAACGGCUCACCAAGACGAUGAUACGUAGCCGACCUGAGAGGGUGAUCGGCCACAUUGGGACUGAGACACGGCCCAAACUCCUACGGGAGGCAGCAGUAGGGAAUCUUCCGCAAUGGACGAAAGUCUGACGGAGCAACGCCGCGUGAGUGAAGAAAAGGUUUUCGGAUCGUAAAACUCUGUUGUCAGAGAAGAACAAGUUGGAGAGUAACUGCUCCAGCCUUGACGGUAUCUGACCAGAAAGCCACGGCUAACUACGUGCCAGCCGCGGC